AGAAGGGAGCCACUUCCUCUUUCUCUAAGGGCAUCCCCAAGGGGCGACCUGGACCCCAUCCUGGAUGGUUGGAGGGGCAGGGACAGGAUCUCUGGAAGAUUACUAAGAGUCGGUCUGCAGCAGCAUUUAUAAUAGGCAGGACCCUAUGCAUCAAGUGGUGAUGAGAAAGGAGUCCUGGACCUGAGGUCUGGCUGGGGUUCUGGUCUCAGCCAGCCACUUAUCAUUUGUGGAAUCUUGGGUGGAUCCUUAACAACUGCGCCACCAUGGAAGUCCAAGAACAUUUCUGAUAGAGAGAACAGUAAGUGCAAACGCCCUGAGGCAGAAUGAUGCCUGGUCAGAGAUCAACAAAGUUGAAGUGGCUGGAGUAGCAUGAGAAUGGGAGAGGUUAGUAUAUGAGGUACCCAGAGAGGCAGGGGGUGCAGCAUCUGGUUCCAAGCACACAGUGGAUGCUUAGCGAAAGCUUGCUGAACCAAAUUGAAAAAGCCCCAAGACUGAACUCUCCAGGAAGGAUUUCCACUGUAACUCAGCCACCUACCUCUUCCUCACUCCCUCCUUAACCAAGGAUACUAGUUCCACUGAUGAUUCCUAGGGUGCCUACCCUAGAGCUGGUGCUAUAAAGGCGAUAGCUUUCAAAUGUUCUGACCACAACCCAGCCAUAAGAAAUAUAUUUUAAGUCAGAGUCCAGUAAAAUGAAAGUUUCAUGAAACAGUACUUCCCUUACUAUAUGCAAUAUACUUCAUUUCCCUUCUUUUUUUUGGCCGUGCCGCACAGCUUGCGGGAUCUUAGUUCCCCGACCAGGAAUUGAACCUGGGCUCCAGCAGUGAUGGCGCCGAGUCCUAACCACUGGACCACGGAAUUCCCCUUCUUUUUCUUUUAAUGCUGAUCAACUUCUUAAUUGAUCUGGGGUCAGUUAACCCUGGGGCCAAACCUACAGUUUGAAAAACAUUACGUUGGGUAGUGAGGAGAAGUAUAAGUUGGGUUACUGCUCUUCCCUUACCAUAAUGAUAAUAACUGUAUAA
Molecule: long non-coding RNA, 1019 nt
Organism: Aethalodelphis obliquidens (Pacific white-sided dolphin)
Lineage: Eukaryota; Metazoa; Chordata; Mammalia; Artiodactyla; Delphinidae
Exons: 2
Source: RefSeq, a predicted model, not a curated record